RNAcentral lists this ribosomal RNA (493 nucleotides) under Streptococcus mutans. RNAcentral's name for it is "bacterial SSU rRNA". It matches the Rfam family "Bacterial small subunit ribosomal RNA", at positions 28 to 495 of the family's 1533-position model. The record is from RNAcentral. Lineage: Bacteria; Bacillati; Bacillota; Bacilli; Lactobacillales; Streptococcaceae.
GACGAACGCUGGCGGCGUGCCUAAUACAUGCAAGUGGGACGCAAGGGAACACACUGUGCUUGCACACCGUGUUUUCUUGAGUCGCGAACGGGUGAGUAACGCGUAGGUAACCUGCCUAUUAGCGGGGGAUAACUAUUGGAAACGAUAGCUAAUACCGCAUAAUAUUAAUUAUUGCAUGAUAAUUGAUUGAAAGAUGCAAGCGCAUCACUAGUAGAUGGACCUGCGUUGUAUUAGCUAGUUGGUAAGGUAAGAGCUUACCAAGGCGACGAUACAUAGCCGACCUGAGAGGGUGAUCGGCCACACUGGGACUGAGACACGGCCCAGACUCCUACGGGAGGCAGCAGUAGGGAAUCUUCGGCAAUGGACGAAAGUCUGACCGAGCAACGCCGCGUGAGUGAAGAAGGUUUUCGGAUCGUAAAGCUCUGUUGUAAGUCAAGAACGUGUGUGAGAGUGGAAAGUUCACACAGUGACGGUAGCUUACCAGAAAGGACGG